UACCAGCCUGUCCUGCACUAAACUAAACUAAACGCGACUCAUUCACCUGAACGUUUUGAAUCGUCUCACAGUUUGUAUCACUUCGCCCAAAUAGCCAAGAGUUUCCUGACUGUUAGUCAUUUCCAGCCUUUUAAUAAAGUGGAGGGAACCUGACGGGGAGGGAAAUUCACCACGUCCGCCACAGUGGCUGUGUUUGAAGUUCAUUCAUAAAAAUAAUUUUGGGGACAAAGUUCGUCAUGAAUUAAGAAAUUUAGAAAUAAUGUUUUGGUCGAUUCACUCAUGUCUUAUCACUCAAACAGACUCCUGGGUGGAUUCAGUCAGGCGUGAGAACAGACCUUAACACUAAAAAGAAGGUUGACUCAAGGUCACAAGGUCGAUUCUGACCAAUGCCUUGCCAGAGAAGCAGGACGAAAUUAAAUUAAAUCUUUAGCAGAUGGUUUCCAUGUCACCUCUUAAAUCCAGGGAAUUAAAUGUAAUCGUAAACAUCAACCAGACCAGAGCAAAGUUAUGAGGGUAGAUCAGAUCAAGAUGUACUCAUUUUUAAGGUGUAUCUAAUAAUAACUAAAAAAAGUCAGAAAUUAAGUCGAUUUCAUUUGUUUAGAUGAGACAAAGAAACAGGAUGUGACCUGGUCUGUAGACGGACGCCUCCAAUGGAAACACAGGCUGCAGAUGUGUUUAACUUCAGACCUAAACUGAGGAGAUGAAAAGAAAAAAAGAAUUGUUAUUGACAUGAAUAUUCAUGAAAGUUUUUUCAAAUUUUCUUAGGAAUAUUUUUCUUACCUUCAGUAUUUUUCUUUGGUCUAAAAAAUAAUGAAGCAAAGUCAACAUGGCAGAUUAAGGAAAAAAUAUUCAAAAUAAAGCACUGGUUAAUUAGGGAUUAACAAACACAAAAUUCACGCCUUCAAAUUUACCAUCGUGUCGUCUUAUUGAAACUGAAAAUCGUUCGUCAUCCAACAUCGCGGACCAUCUCUGACCAAUCAAUAAACUACAUAAAAAAAUCCUUAUUGGGAACUAAAUUAAACAAUUUCUCAGGAAUGAACACAGUCAGCGGUGGUGCAGGUCACUUUCCCUCCACGUCACAUCUCCUGCUUCUCUACUCUUUGUAUAGAACAUCACGUUUUCUGUAUUUUUCUUUUUUUCCUUUUUUUUUUUUUUAAAUGAAGUACUUGAAUGAAACAAUGCUCACUUUGAAAAAACAAACAAAAAAAAAACAAUUGUAGAGUUAACAACCAAGAAACCUUGUUUGAGAGAUUAACCACGAGUCAACAACUACUGGACUAUUUGGAUUCCUAUAAUUUUGCUGUACUAAACCCAUGUCUGUGUAUUUGAUGUUUUAAUCAGAUGCAUUGUAAUUUGAAUAAACGUUGCAGUAUAUAAAGGUA
Molecule: long non-coding RNA, 1382 nt
Organism: Cynoglossus semilaevis (tongue sole)
Lineage: Eukaryota; Metazoa; Chordata; Actinopteri; Pleuronectiformes; Cynoglossidae
Exons: 2
Source: RefSeq, a predicted model, not a curated record